RNAcentral lists this transfer RNA (87 nucleotides) under Humitalea rosea. RNAcentral's name for it is "Acetobacteraceae bacterium W37 tRNA". It matches the Rfam family "tRNA". Rfam says of the family: Transfer RNA (tRNA) molecules are approximately 80 nucleotides in length. Their secondary structure includes four short double-helical elements and three loops (D, anti-codon, and T loops). Further hydrogen bonds mediate the characteristic L-shaped molecular structure. tRNAs have two regions of fundamental functional importance: the anti-codon, which is responsible for specific mRNA codon recognition, and the 3' end, to which the tRNAs corresponding amino acid is attached (by aminoacyl-tRNA synthetases). tRNAs cope with the degeneracy of the genetic code in two manners: having more than one tRNA (with a specific anti-codon) for a particular amino acid; and 'wobble' base-pairing, i.e. permitting non-standard base-pairing at the 3rd anti-codon position. Lineage: Bacteria; Pseudomonadati; Pseudomonadota; Alphaproteobacteria; Acetobacterales; Roseomonadaceae. The record is from Rfam by way of RNAcentral.
GGACGGGUGGCCGAGCGGUCGAAGGCGCACGCCUGGAAAGUGUGUAUACGCGAAAGCGUAUCGUGGGUUCGAAUCCCACCCCGUCCG